AUAUUUGUAAAGGCCCUUACUAGCAAGACCAUCACCUUUGAGGUAGAAUCGUCUGACACCAUGGAUAAUGUCAAGGCCAAGAUCCAGGAUAAAGAGCAAGGGUCGUGCUUAGGGGCCCCCGAGCACAAACUCUCAACCAACUCAGGCUGUGCAAUCACACAUUGUCCCCCGACCAUCUUCAAACUUCAAGGUUCUACGACUUUGGCUUCAACAUCAGCAAAGACAAUCCAAGGAGCCAAGAGGAGUGCUCAGGGACUGCCUCGAGCACCCUCCACUCCCCGGAGCACCAUCUAUGCUCUGAUGCCCACCCAUGGGAUCUGCCAACUAACAAGGCUUUUAAUGUAA
RNAcentral lists this ribosomal RNA (345 nucleotides) under Triticum aestivum (bread wheat). RNAcentral's name for it is "partial small subunit ribosomal RNA". The record is from RNAcentral. Lineage: Eukaryota; Viridiplantae; Streptophyta; Magnoliopsida; Poales; Poaceae.